Molecule: ribosomal RNA, 253 nt
Filed under: uncultured bacterium
Lineage: Bacteria
Description: partial 16S ribosomal RNA
Rfam family: Bacterial small subunit ribosomal RNA
Source: RNAcentral
UACGAAGGGGGCUAGCGUUGUUCGGAAUUACUGGGCGUAAAGGGCGCGUAGGCGGUUUUGUAAGUCCCGUGUGAAAGCCCCCGGCUCAACUGGGGAAUGGCACGGGAAACUGCGAGGCUUGAGUUCGGGAGAGGGAAGCGGAAUUCCGGGUGUAGCGGUGAAAUGCGUAGAUAUCCGGAGGAACACCGGUGGCGAAGGCGGCUUCCUGGACCGACACUGACGCUGAGGCGCGAAAGCGUGGGGAGCAAACAGG